This 757-nucleotide ribosomal RNA is filed under the name uncultured organism. Its description in RNAcentral is "SSU rRNA". It matches the Rfam family "Bacterial small subunit ribosomal RNA", at positions 702 to 1470 of the family's 1533-position model. The record is from RNAcentral.
AGAAACUCCGAUUGCGAAGGCAGCUCACUGGACUGCAACUGACACUGAUGCUCGAAAGUGUGGGUAUCAAACAGGAUUUAGAUACCCUGGUAGUCCACACAGUAAACGAUGAAUACUCGCUGUUUGCGAUAUACAGUAAGCGGCCAAGCGAAAGCAUUAAGUAUUCCACCUGGGGAGUACGCCGGCAACGGUGAAACCCAAAGGAAUUGACGGGGGCCCGCACAAGCGGAGGAACAUGUGGUUUAAUUCGAUGAUACGCGAGGAACCUUACCCGGGCUUAAAUUGCAGUGGAAUGAUGUGGAAACAUGUCAGUGAGCAAUCACCGCUGUGAAGGUGCUGCAUGGUUGUCGUCAGCUCGUGCCGUGAGGUGUCGGCUUAAGUGCCAUAACGAGCGCAACCCUUAUCUUUAGUUACUAACAGGUCAUGCUGAGGACUCUAGAGAGACUGCCGUCGUAAGAUGUGAGGAAGGUGGGGAUGACGUCAAAUCAGCACGGCCCUUACGUCCGGGGCUACACACGUGUUACAAUGGGGGGUACAGAAGGCAGCUAGCGGGUGACCGUAUGCUAAUCCCAAAAGCCUCUCUCAGUUCGGAUCGAAGUCUGCAACCCGACUUCGUGAAGCUGGAUUCGCUAGUAAUCGCGCAUCAGCCACGGCGCGGUGAAUACGUUCCCGGGCCUUGUACACACCGCCCGUCAAGCCAUGGGAGCCGGGGGUACCUGAAGUACGUAACCGCAAGGAUCGUCCUAGGGUAAAACUG